Molecule: small nucleolar RNA, 104 nt
Organism: Pteropus vampyrus (large flying fox)
Lineage: Eukaryota; Metazoa; Chordata; Mammalia; Chiroptera; Pteropodidae
Source: Ensembl
AUCCUUGUGUAGUAUAUAAGCAUGAUGAUUGGGUGUUUAUGCUGUUGUAUGAGAUACAUCUCCUUCAAACUUUGUUAUACCAUCGGCACAUUACCCGUCUGAUG